AACUUUUAAAAGAAUACUCCUGCAUGUCCCUAUCUCUUUUUCUGUCUCAUCUCGGGACUUUCUCAGUGUUUCAGACUCCAGUUCACCUCGCCCCAGGCUAACAUGAGAUCAGGCAAGUGAGCAAUAUAUGCUAGAGUGCCAGUUGGGGCAAAUAAAUACUAAUUUUCCACUUUUAACAAACAGGGUAGGGGAUGAUGUGAAAUAGGGAGCUUUAUUUUUUUUGGUUGGGCAAUCUAGGAAAGCACACAAGUAGUAAACGUAAAAGAAUGUGGCUGUAGUGUGAUGAAAUUCCCAAACUAAUGAGGUGUGUGUGUGUUGUUCUGUUUUGUUUAAAUAUUCUUAUAAUUCACCUUGUCAGACCAAGCACAUUUUCAGUACUUGUGCAAUACUGAUGGGAAAAAUAUUAAAAAUGACACCAGUAGAUAUGAAACUUAAAAAAAAAAUGUUACAAGAGAAUAUUAUGUACAAUUCCUCAGGCUCAGCUUCAGCCUCCCAUACAUCCUCCACCACCCCUGCCAGUACCAUUCUCACCCCCAAUGCCACCCCUACCCUGUCCUGACCUCAGCACUCUUAUCAGGUUACCAAGUCCCUUCUGGCUUCCCUGAGGCCUUUAAUAAACUUUUCUGUUUCCUUGCCAACCUCCAAAGUUAGUUAUCUCUCCCAACUGAAAACCACAACUGUAACACCUAACCUUAUCUCUUGGCCUCUUUGCCACUAAUUUCAAGACGGCCUUGGUGCUGGCUUAAGAGGAGGACAGGCCAUACAACAAUUGUUGAGAAAGUCAGUGUUUGGCUUACCUAGGGGUUAUUUCAGUCUAAAAAUGCCAGUGUUCCUCAUUUAACUAAUAGGGUACAAGUUGAAUGUGAGAUAAUAUGCUAUGAAGAGAGAAACUCAGGAAAGAAAGUUGAAGAGAAAGGGGUGGCAUAGGGCUACACUCUAAAAUAGUAAUUAUUUUAUGUUCUUAAUUGCAACCAUAUCUCACAAAAUUUCCAAACUGAUUCAUUACUCUUUAAUACGCUACACUCAUUACCCUCUGUGAACAUUUACCCUACAUCAGGAGUCACAGGCUUGCCC
Molecule: long non-coding RNA, 1074 nt
Filed under: Bos grunniens (domestic yak)
Lineage: Eukaryota; Metazoa; Chordata; Mammalia; Artiodactyla; Bovidae
Description: lncRNA (ENSBGRG00000009870.1)
Source: RNAcentral